AAAAAGGGUCGGUUGGCUAAAUAUACCACGCUCACCCUCGUUCGGUAGGUGCUGUAUGGCUAUCAAGACAUAUGACCGACGUAAUUUGUGGAACCCUAAUGGGGUUGGCUCGCUUGGCAGACCCUUUAA
RNAcentral lists this small nuclear RNA (129 nucleotides) under Theobroma cacao (cacao). Its description in RNAcentral is "snRNA U11". It matches the Rfam family "U11 spliceosomal RNA". Lineage: Eukaryota; Viridiplantae; Streptophyta; Magnoliopsida; Malvales; Malvaceae. The record is from Rfam by way of RNAcentral.